UUGACCUCGAAUCAGGUAGGAAUACCCGCUGAACUUAAGCAUAUCAAUAAGCGGAGGAAAAGAAACCAACAGGGAUUGCCCUAGUAACGGCGAGUGAAGCGGCAACAGCUCAAAUUUGAAAUCUGGCCCUAGGCCCGAGUUGUAAUUUGCAGAGGAUGCUUCGGGCGCGGUGCCUUCCAAGUCCCCUGGAACGGGGCGCCGGAGAGGGUGAGAGCCCCGUACGGUUGGCGGCCAAGCCUGUGUGAAGCUCCUUCGACGAGUCGAGUAGUUUGGGAAUGCUGCUCUAAGCGGGAGGUAGACCCCUUCUAAAGCUAAAUAUAGGCCAGAGACCGAUAGCGCACAAGUAGAGUGAUCGAAAGAUGAAAAGCACUUUGAAAAGAGGGUUAAAUAGCACGUGAAAUUGUUGAAAGGGAAGCGCUUGUGACCAGACGUGCGCCGGGGUGUUCAGCGGGCGUUCUCGCCCGUGCACUCGCCUCGGCGCAGGCCAGCGUCGGUUCGAGUGGGAGGAUAAAGGCGUCUGGAAUGUGGCUCCUCCGGGAGUGUUAUAGCCAGACGUGCCAUGCUCCCGCCCGGACCGAGGUACGCGUUCUGCAAGGACGCUGGCGUAAUGGUCUCCAGCGACCCGUCUUGAAACACGGACCAAGGAGUCGAGGUUUUGCGCGAGUGUUUGGGUGUUAAACCCGCACGCGUAAUGAAAGUGAACGUAGGUGGGAGCUUCGGCGCACCACCGACCGAUCCUGAUGUUUUCGGAUGGAUUUGAGUAAGAGCGUAGGGCCUCGGACCCGAAAGAUGGUGAACUAUGCUUGGAUAGGGUGAAGCCAGAGGAAACUCUGGUGGAGGCUCGCAGCGGUUCUGACGUGCAAAUCGAUCGUCAAAUCUGAGCAUGGGGGCGAAAGACUAAUCGAACCAUCUAGUAGCUGGUUACCGCCGAAGUUUCCCUCAGGAUAGCAGUGUUGUUCUUCAGUUUUAUGAGGUAAAGCGAAUGAUUAGGGACUCGGGGGCGCUAUUUAGCCUUCAUCCAUUCUCAAACUUUAAAUAUGUAAGAAGCCCUUGUUGCUUAAUUGAACGUGGGCAUUCGAAUGUAUCAACACUAGUGGGCCAUUUUUGGUAAGCAGAACUGGCGAUGUGGGAUGAACCAUACGGGGGGUUAAGGUGCCAGAGUAGACGCUCAUCAGACACCACAAAAGGCGUUAGCACAUCUUGACAGCAGGACGGUGGCCAUGGAAGUCGGAAUCCGCUAAGGACUGUGUAACAACUCACCUGCCGAAUGUGCUAGCCCUGAAAAUGGAUGGCGCUCAAGCGUCUCACCCAUACCCCCCCCUCAGGGUAGAAACGAUGCCCUGAGGAGUAGGCGGCCGCAGUGCUGU
Molecule: ribosomal RNA, 1367 nt
Filed under: Chloridium fuscum
Lineage: Eukaryota; Fungi; Ascomycota; Sordariomycetes; Chaetosphaeriales; Chaetosphaeriaceae
Description: partial large subunit ribosomal RNA
Rfam family: Eukaryotic large subunit ribosomal RNA
Source: RNAcentral